Long non-coding RNA from Passer domesticus (house sparrow), 2798 nucleotides. RefSeq lists it as uncharacterized. The transcript has 3 exons. The record is from RefSeq and is a predicted model, not a curated record. Lineage: Eukaryota; Metazoa; Chordata; Aves; Passeriformes; Passeridae.
AAGGUGGGGAUCUGACACAGGCUGGACUCGAGGAUUGUGGAGGAUUUUUCCGAGCUAAAUGACUCUGUGAUUGUGUGACAGCUUGUCAGCACAUCUGUAGUGUUCAUUUGUCCAUCUGCAGCUUCUCCAGCAUCCCUGGAGCAGUAUGCUAGACCCACAGUAGGGAUGGUGGAUGCUGCAGUGACUACACCACCUCCUGAGGUCCCCUACAAGCUGAACUACCAUGUACUCCCACGGCACCUUAUGGCAUCACAGCCAUGGAACUCAGAAUGCUAGAACUCAUAGAGUUAAUCUGGGCUGAUGUGACAGCACACAGUUUAUUUUACGGGCAUUUUAGCCAGGAAAAAGCACUCCCUCAUAAAGAAAAAAACCACAGUUCUUCAAAUACAAUGCUGUGAACAAACCCCUGGGUAAAGUGCUUAGUGAUUUAGUAAUAUUUAUUUGUAUUCUGACACUGCAUAAAAAUGCAAAACUUGAGGAUGGAGCCUGUAACAAACUAAGCACUGUCCCCACAUGACCAACAGAGAUCUGAGGUACUCUGGACCACUUCUCCUUAUGCUCAAACCCACUCCUCCUGGUCUCAAAGGACUGCAGUGUCUAACAGACACAUUGGCCAGCAUGUGCUUUAUUCAAACAUCACAGAUCACCCUAACUUCUCAACAGGAAAAAUAUGAUUUUACUUUAUCUACACUAUUUACUAGUAGGAAAGAUGCAGCCAAUACAUCAGGGAAUUUAGUCACAUCACUGCAGCGACUUGGGAAGCUUUGAAUCCAGCUAAUUCCAGCUGCUCUGCCACAUCUGGCUGUGAAACCCCUGCCCUGCAUGCUCCAAGAUGUCCUGGGCAGCACUGGAACGGGGGGGUUUGCUCCCCAACGAAGUUUCAGCCAAGAGAGCAGAGAAGCAACAAGACUGCACCAAGUGCCUAAUCAGAGCAAUCCUUGAGACAGCUCUAAAUGAGAUCAAACUGUUGGGGCUGGAUCCCAGUCAGUGCAGUCCCUGGGGAGCAGACACUGCCAUCUGCACGCUCAUUUAUUGGGCUUUGGAAUUAUUUAACGUUUGAUUUAUGGUGGUGAAUUGCCUCCUGGCAAACAUUCACUGUGCAAAACUCUCUGUUCCCUCACCCAUUAAAAAUCAGGGCCUGAUCCAUGUGAAAGCUUCCUGAUGAGUUCACUACGUUUUGGAUCAGGCCUCUUGGUCCCAAGACUGGCAGAUAAUAUCCCAUUUAUGUCCAGUUUUCUUGCUCAAAUUUAGAAGAACUCAAGUGCUUUCCAUCAAUGUUUUUAUGUUUGCUUUUGGGAGAAUCCUCACAGUGGGUCAGGUUACUGUGAUAUAGAAAGGAUGACCCACUCUGACAUACAAAUUUUCCAAAGGAUCUCAGCCUGAGGCAGACAUCUGCCUCUGGGAAUUUCAGCCCAGAUGACUGGAGUUUGGCAAAGAUGGAAGAAACUGAAAAUAGAGCUCUGUAAUGGAAAGUGGUGUAGAACCUUAAUAAUAGGAGGGUGCUACCAAGCACCACAUAUGAUAAAACUCCACAACAACAAACAUAAGGGAAGCAUUGAGGGAGGAUUCUUUCUGUUAUGCCUCAGAAUAUAUGAUGUCUCUUCUCUUACUUGAAAGGGUAUCAGAGUUAACUCUUAUUUUUGCCUGAUCCUCCAGAAAUUAUGAUCAAAACCAGGCAGCUCAAACCCAGCCUUUCUCUCUCAACUGUAUUGAACAAGGUUUAUCUGAGAAGCAUGAGCCCAUCCCAGACAGUCAGAAGAAGUCAGGACUACAAUCGUUCAUCUCUGCACUGAGGAGUCAGUAGCAGACUAGAAAAGCUGUGUGGCUCAGAUCUAAGCAGUUAAAUUUUCAUUACUUUGCUUGCAGAUUAAAAGCCCAUCUUGAUGUUUCAGUUACAAGAACACAAUUUCAGUUCUACAAUACCCAGAAUACCACAAAGACUCCCUUAGUCAUAACAGGUGAAAAACAUAAUUUCACUCAGAUUAAUUCUGAAAUGUUUGAGUCCCUAUUUCUGCUUUCACCCCAUCUCUGUCAAUUCGCUCUUGAUGGGCAGGAUGUGAACACAGGAGCUGGAAUCUUGUUAAAGACAUUUAAGAAAUUUGCUGCCAUUUACACCUGCAUAAAUCCUUAGUAACUUCCCUGGCAUAAAUGGAAACACAAUUUGGCUUGAGGCAUCAGGGCUUUGGUUUUUUCUUACUUUUGUUUUGUUUUAAUUCAGCAACAGAUUAAAAAUAAAACUCCAAUGACAUCAUGUUUAUGGCACAGAGUCAAUGGAUUUGUGCUGGACUGCUCCAGAGUAAAUGAGAUAAGGCUUUGACCUAAGAAAAUCCACAUAACACCCAUUUGCAAGCAGCCUGGUGAAAAGCUUUCUGUUAUGGAAUGACUCCAUCUUUAAGGAACUGGGGGCAAACGACCCACAAACACCUUGUGGAAAUAACACAGUUUUGUUAACAAAGGGGUUUAUUUCAGACAUAUUAUUGAAACCUCAGAAGUGUAGCAUGCUCAUAUUGCAACUGACUCAUUGUGCACGAAUUUUCAGCUUUUGUUUUUCUUUUUUGUUCCUUCUUUUUUUUUAAUGGAUUUUAGUUAUGCCCAUCACUCCACUCACAAAUUAGGGGGUUAGAAUGGAAAUUCUUACCAUCUUUUCACGCCUCUGGUGCUUGCAGGCACUGCCAUGAUAAAUAAUUUACUAUUUAAUGACUCCUGAUGUAAUCACAGCAGGAAUCAGAUUCACCAACAUCCAUCUCUCCAUUGUUACCACUCUUCUCUGAGCCCAUCUUUUUAGCUCCCAACUCAAA